AUACGGAGGGUGCAAGCGUUAAUCGGAAUUACUGGGCGUAAAGCGUGCGUAGGUGGUUUGUUAAGUUAGAUGUGAAAGCCCCGGGCUCAACCUGGGAACUGCAUUUGAAACUGGCAUACUAGAGUAUAGGAGAGGAAAGUGGAAUUCCAGGUGUAGCGGUGAAAUGCGUAGAUAUCUGAAGGAACAUCAAUGGCGAAGGCAGCUUUCUGGACUAAUACUGACACUGAGGUACGAAAGCGUGGGUAGCAAACAGGAUUAGAAACCCGGUAGUCC
Molecule: ribosomal RNA, 273 nt
Filed under: uncultured bacterium
Lineage: Bacteria
Description: partial 16S ribosomal RNA
Rfam family: Bacterial small subunit ribosomal RNA
Source: RNAcentral